Culex pipiens pallens (northern house mosquito) is the source of this 1883-nucleotide long non-coding RNA. RefSeq lists it as uncharacterized. Lineage: Eukaryota; Metazoa; Arthropoda; Insecta; Diptera; Culicidae. The record is from RefSeq and is a predicted model, not a curated record. The transcript has 3 exons.
UGUACCAUUUUUUCAGUGUAGUCCUUAUCCACCUACAACUUUGCCGAAGACACCAAAUCGAUCAAAAAAUUCCUUCAAAAGAUACAGAUUUUUGAAUUUUCAUACAUCAUUUUUGUAUGGACAGCUGCCAAAUUUGUAUGGAAAAUUAUAUGGACAAACUAAUGAUGCAAAAUGGCUUCUUUGGGCAUACCGAAGGCACCAAAAAAGUUUUAGCCAGGUUAAAAAAUACAAAAAUUAAAAUUAAGAAAAAUACCGAUUUCGUAAAGCAUUGCUCAUAUGAUACCAAAAAAAAUUAAGGCUAAUUUCAAAAUUGGGCUAGUGUUUUCUGUUCUCAGAUAAACUAGAAAAUAAAAAGGGUUUUCAAAAGAACCGUAUCAUUUUUAUUUCAUCAUAAAAGUUUUUUAUCAAUUCUCAAAAGAAAUCUAAACAAAUCCAGAUUUUGCAUUUUUGCUUGAGAAAAAAAAGAUUUAGCCAAUAAGCUCUUUUCAAACGUUCCCCGUGAGUAAAAUUUGUUUGUCGCAGCGUAAUCAUGCAUCCGAACUGACAAAGGAGCAGGAAGUGGUUAACUAAAAAUUAAAAUAAAUUACUGUAGCUUACCAAAAACGGUUCACUUCUUUGUUUCCAUCAACACAACACGGACCCCGGAAUUAGUUGUUUAGCAACAAUCAUGGGAAUCGCAACGCUUUUGAUUGCACUAACGCUCCUGUUUGAACUUGUUGGUUGAUGUGGCAAUCAACCAGUAAGGUUUCAAGCUUUAAUUAUCUCAUUCUAGGGACAAUUGGGCCAAGUUCAUCCUACUAAAGAGGAAAACAUCAACUCCACCGGAGUUACUCCAUCGUUCAGAGUACUAAGUAAACCAAAGACGACCAUCCCAGCAAAACCGAAACUGACUACGAAGGCAAGCAACAGACCUAUCACAACUACCAAGCGAAUUGGACAAACAACAAAACCAAUCAAGGUAAAGAAAUUCACUUCGAUAUAAUAACCUCGUAUUAAAAAAAAUAUUUGUUUGCAGAAUCAACAAUUGCAAAAAACAACACCAAAAGUUAGUAUCGCAUUUGAGACUUGUUAGAAUGGGUUUAAUAUUUUAUUUACUAUUUUCAGAAAAUCUUUGUUGAACAUAUUCAAUCAAAGGCCAAAACAUUCACAACAACGAAAAAGGUAGGAAUACUUAACAAAUGAGCAAAACGAAGAUUUUAGAAAUCAAGUAUUUUAACGACAAUUUUAGUUGGCUCAACUGAGGAAAACUACGGUGCCCCAAUUUCUAGGUAUCCCGGUAAGAUUUGUGUAUUACUUACAAAAAAAUAUAUGUUGAUUCCUAUUUUAAACUUCAGGAGCCGGAUAUUGUGUACAGUCUUGUAAGUGAAACAAACGAAAUCUACUAGAAAGCAAUCUUGAAAAAUAUUAACACAUCAUACCAUAGGGUACUCCCCCAGAAGACCCUCUUCCUGAAAAAGUCUUUUCGCUUGUGAACGAAGUGAACGAAGAUUAUGACAAUUUAAACGAGACAGUGUCGCCAACCCCCACCGAUGACCUCGCGAACGGUGUAGUGCUGAGUACAACAACACUGAAUACGACCGAAGUUCCGGACGCGUCCACCGUCGAGGACGUAACUCGGAAAAGGUUGAAGCGUCGCAAGGCGACCACGACCACGUCGACCAGACGUCGACUAAAGCGAACGAGAACGACCACCGUUGGGCCGGAAAAUGUUUGAAACCCUGAAAAGGGUUUGCGGCUGAUGAUUGGUUUUGUAACACUGAAUAGUUUUUUUUAAAUUGUUUCAACGAAUUUCACAUCACUGAAUACUUGCAUUCUGUUUUCUUGAAAAAUAUCACAAAAGAAGAUUCCGACUAUUUAAAAAAAUAAAGUGUCCGAAAUAUGUA